AACGAACGCUGGCGGCAUGCCUAACACAUGCAAGUCGAACGAGACCUUCGGGUCUAGUGGCGCACGGGUGCGUAACGCGUGGGAACCUGCCCUUAGGUUCGGAAUAACUCCCCGAAAGGGGUGCUAAUACCGGAUAAUGUCUUCGGACCAAAGAUUUAUCGCCUUUGGAUGGGCCCGCGUUGGAUUAGCUAGUUGGUAGGGUAAAAGCCUACCAAGGCGACGAUCCAUAGCUGGACUGAGAGGAUGAUCAGCCACACUGGGACUGAGGCACGGCCCAGACUCCUACGGGAGGCAGCAGUGGGGAAUAUUGGACAAUGGGCGAAAGCCUGAUCCAGCAAUGCCGCGUGAGUGAUGAAGGCCUUAGGGUUGUAAAGCUCUUUUACCCGGGAUGAUAAUGACAGUACCGGGAGAAUAAGCUCCGGCUAACUCCGUG
RNAcentral lists this ribosomal RNA (433 nucleotides) under uncultured bacterium. RNAcentral describes it as "partial 16S ribosomal RNA". It matches the Rfam family "Bacterial small subunit ribosomal RNA", at positions 29 to 507 of the family's 1533-position model. The record is from RNAcentral.